Molecule: ribosomal RNA, 520 nt
Filed under: uncultured Glomeromycotina
Lineage: Eukaryota; Fungi; Glomeromycota
Description: SSU rRNA
Rfam family: Eukaryotic small subunit ribosomal RNA
Source: RNAcentral
AGCAGCCGCGGUAAUUCCAGCUCCAAUAGCGUAUAUUAAAGUUGUUGCAGUUAAAAAGCUCGUAGUUGAAUUUCGGGGUUCUACCGUUGGUCAGGCUAUUGUCUGUACUGGCGUGUAGAAUUUCUACCUUCUGGGGAACUAUCAUGUUAUUAAUUUAGCGUGGUAGGAAACCAGGACCUUUACCUUGAAAAAAUUAGAGUGUUCAAAGCAGGCUUAUGUCUGAAUACAUUAGCAUGGAAUAAUAAAAUAGGACGGUGGUCCUGUUUUGUUGGUUUCUGAAUCACCGUAAUGAUUAAUAGGGAUAGUUGGGGGCAUUAGUAUUCAAUUGUCAGAGGUGAAAUUCUUGGAUUUAUUGAAGACUAACUACUGCGAAAGCAUUUGCCAAGGAUGUUUUCAUUAAUCAAGAACGAAAGUUAGGGGAUCGAAGACGAUCAGAUACCGUCGUAGUCUUAACCAUAAACUAUGCCGACUAGGGAUCGGACGAUGUAACUUUCUUGACUCGUUCGGCGCCUUACGGGAA